UUUUUGCUAUUUCUUUGGGCCGCUCCCACGGCAUAUGGAGGUUCCCAGGCUAGGAGUCCAAUCGGAGCUGUAGCCACCGGCCUACGCCAGAGCCACAGCAAUGCGGGAGCCGAGCCGUGUCUGCAACCUACACCACAGCUCACGGCAACGCCGGAUGGUUAACCCACUGAGCAAGGGCAGGGACUGAACCCACAACCUCAUGGUUCCUAGUCGGAUUCGUUAACCACUGCACCACGACGGGAACUCCCCUCUUGUAGCCAUUUUAAAUCAUGAAGUGGCACACCAAGAAUGACAGAGCAGCAAAAUGCAAGGAGCCUAAGUCCCUGAUGAUUGCAGACCCACCGCAUAGCCCUGGACUCCCUUACUCUGGAUCCUCUUAUGUGAGUAUGAUAUAUGCACCUACUUUAAGCCUCUGUUACUUUGGGAAUUUUUGUUAAUCACAGCCAUACUUUGUCCUAAUUAAAACACUUGCUAAAUGAAGUUUUUCUGGAAUGGGGACCCGCCCAGAUCUCAUAGUCUAAGCAUAGGUCUCAUGGGUUGAAGGGACUCUCGAGAGAGAACUUUCCUGUUGUCAAAAACAGGGAGUAUAGAACAGAGAGAGAAGUAAAGCCACCUGGGUCCACAGGAUAACUGACAAGAGGUGUAUAUGCAGGAGGACUCUGCUCCUCCAAGCAGUUCCUGGACCAACACCAUCAGGAUCACCUGGGAGUUUGCUGUGCACAAUCUCAGGCCCGCCCCGAGCCUACUGAAUCAGAAUCUUCCUUUUAACAAGUUCCCCAAGUGAUUCGGAUAUACUUUGAAACAUGAGAAAUGCAGCCUUAUGGGGAGGCUUUAAUAUCACAGACAGACAAAAGUUAAGGCCACACUUCCUGUUUACCACAAGGAGUUGGAACUAGAAAUUAUUUUGGAAAGUAUGAUCCUAUCAGAAAAACCUCUGCUACUCAGCAAAGAAACUGGCUGGCCACCCCAGGGUGCGGGUAAGAGGGAGAAGAAAAAAAAAAGAGUUAAUGAAAGAAAUUGGAGCACUUAGCCUGUAUGUCCUAGUAUAAAAUCCAGAUUCUCUCAUUUCUUACCAGGAAAAAAAGCCCUAAGCCAAUAAAAUAAAAUAAAACUCCAUCUAGAAAAAGGAAUCCUCUAAUGAAGAAACCAUACCAGAGAGAUGUCUCCAAAUCCUAGCGGAUAUAUAGGACUCAGCGGAAGGUAAUUCCUGCUGAGGAUGAGACAAAAUUUACAAAGCACACAAGGCAAUGCAAAACCAUGCAUAUCAUCAAAAAUUGCAAGUGAGAGAAAUCAUUCCUAAGGAAUUGCCGAGUGAACUCUCUGAAAAGGAAUUUAAAUAAGUUUGUCUAACAUGUUUUAAAACUAGAAGAGCAACAUCUAUAAAGCAAACCCAGAACAUUAGGAGAAAAGAAGAGCUGAUUUGAAAAAGAACUAAAAUAAAGUUCUAACACUGGAAAACAUAAUCCUCCAAAUUGAAAAAAAAAAAGACAACAAACAGCAUCAAUAUGCUGGUUCCAUAGUCCAUUGACACAGCUGUGGAGGAAAGUGAUAACUUUAAAAACAGAUCUGAGAAAAAAAUUAUCUAGCACACAACAUAAAGAAAAGGACAUUUUGUCAAAUAUGAAAAAGAAAAAAUAUUGAAAAAGAAAUUGAGAAAACAUGGAGAAUCUGUUUUAAUAUUUCUGUAUCUGUCAGCAGACGCUGCAAAAAGCAAGACCAUUCAGAAGAGGAUGAGAGGUAAUAUUUGAAGAGAUGAGGGCAAAGGAAUGUCUAGAUUUGAAAAGAAAGGUUCUAAGCUUCGGGUUGGAAAACAUAGAAUAAGUAAAAACAAACACACACUUGGCCACAUGAUUGCGAAACUAUAGAACAUCAAGGGAAAAGAUAAUAUUUUCAGAGAUACUAGAGAAUAGAGAACGAUUAUCUUCAAAGAACUGUCUGCUGGAUUGAUGUCACCCUUCUCAUUGGCAACAAUAGCUGCCAGAAGAUGAGGGAAUCUCUUAAAAGUGCUAAGCAGGGAAAAAAGGUCCAUCUGCAAUUCUGCAUUCAGCUCACCCUCAUGUGAGACACGGGACAAAGGAAAGAUAUUUUCAGAAAAAGACUGAGUUAACUAAACACAGAUCUUCAAGUAACUCCUAAAAGAUUAAUUUAGAAAAAAGAAAAGAGAUGGAAUUGCAAGAAACAACUGUGUGCAAACACUGUGUGCAAAAAUAAACAGGCAAGUUAAUCUAGAUAGGUAUAGAUUCUAAAAAUAAUAAUGACAAAUGGUGAGUAAAAACAUGGCAGAACUAAAUACUAGACCACCGUGAUACAGAAGAUGGGAGCAAAGUUAAACAUUCUGAGUUCUCUGUCUUAUCUUGGAAGAGAAUAGAGGUAUCAGGAGUUCCCGUCAAAGUGCAGUGGAAACAAAUCCAACUAAGAACCAUGAGGUUUCAGGUUCAAACCCCGGCCUCACUCAGUAGGGUUAAGGAUCUAGAGUUGCUGUGAGCUGUGGUGUAGGUCACAGAUGUGGCUCAGAUCUGAUGUUGCUGUGGCUCUGGCGUAGGCCAGCAGCUAUAGCUCCGAUUGGACCCGUAGCCUGGGAACCUCCAUAUGCCACAGGUGCAGCCCUAGAAAAG
Molecule: long non-coding RNA, 2615 nt
Filed under: Sus scrofa (pig)
Lineage: Eukaryota; Metazoa; Chordata; Mammalia; Artiodactyla; Suidae
Description: lncRNA (ENSSSCG00035055687.1)
Source: RNAcentral